AGUGAACGCUGGCGGUAGGCCUAACACAUGCAAGUCGAACGGCAGCACAGUAAGAGCUUGCUCUUACGGGUGGCGAGUGGCGGACGGGUGAGGAAUACAUCGGGAUCUACUUUUUCGUGGGGGAUAACGUAGGGAAACUUACGCUAAUACCGCAUACGACCUACGGGUGAAAGCAGGGGAUCUUCGGACCUUGCGCGAUUGAAUGAGCCGAUGUCGGAUUAGCUAGUUGGCGGGGUAAAGGCCCACCAAGGCGACGAUCCGUAGCUGGUCUGAGAGGAUGAUCAGCCACACUGGAACUGAGACGCGGUCCAGACUCCUACGGGAGGCAGCAGUGGGGAAUAUUGGACAAUGGGCGCAAGCCUGAUCCAGCCAUACCGCGUGGGUGAAGAAGGCCUUCGGGUUGUAAAGCCCUUUUGUUGGGAAAGAAAAGCAGCAGGUUAAUACCCCGCUGUUCUGACGGUACCCAAAGAAUAAGCACCGGCUAACUUCGUG
This 492-nucleotide ribosomal RNA is filed under the name uncultured bacterium. Its description in RNAcentral is "partial 16S ribosomal RNA". It matches the Rfam family "Bacterial small subunit ribosomal RNA", at positions 29 to 507 of the family's 1533-position model. The record is from RNAcentral.